RNAcentral lists this ribosomal RNA (258 nucleotides) under Suhomyces bolitotheri. RNAcentral describes it as "partial 28S ribosomal RNA". It matches the Rfam family "Eukaryotic large subunit ribosomal RNA", at positions 51 to 305 of the family's 3401-position model. The record is from RNAcentral. Lineage: Eukaryota; Fungi; Ascomycota; Pichiomycetes; Serinales; Debaryomycetaceae.
CGGAGGAAAAGAAACCAACCGGGAUUGCCUCAGUAACGGCGAGUGAAGCGGCAAAAGCUCAAAUUUGAAAUCUGGCCUCUUUCGGGGUCCGAGUUGUAAUUUGAAGAAGCGACUCUGGUACCGGCCCUUGUCUAUGUUCCUUGGAACAGGACGUCACAGAGGGUGAGAAUCCCGUGCGAUGAGGGCGCCGGGUACCAUGUAGAGCGUUUUCGACGAGUCGAGUUGUUUGGGAAUGCAGCUCUAAGUGGGUGGUAAAUU